Molecule: ribosomal RNA, 363 nt
Filed under: uncultured Escherichia sp.
Lineage: Bacteria; Pseudomonadati; Pseudomonadota; Gammaproteobacteria; Enterobacterales; Enterobacteriaceae
Description: bacterial SSU rRNA
Rfam family: Bacterial small subunit ribosomal RNA
Source: RNAcentral
AUUGAACGCUGGCGGCAGGCCUAACACAUGCAAGUCGAACGGUAACAGGAAGCAGCUUGCUGCUUUGCUGACGAGUGGCGGACGGGUGAGUAAUGUCUGGGAAACUGCCCGAUGGAGGGGGAUAACUACUGGAAACGGUAGCUAAUACCGCAUAACGUCGCAAGACCAAAGAGGGGGACCUUCGGGCCUCUUGCCAUCGGAUGUGCCCAGAUGGGAUUAGCUAGUAGGUGGGGUAAAGGCUCACCUAGGCGACGAUCCCUAGCUGGUCUGAGAGGAUGACCAGCCACACUGGAACUGAGACACGGUCCAGACUCCUACGGGAGGCAGCAGUGGGGAAUAUUGCACAAUGGGCGCAAGCCUGAU